UGGGCCCAGGAGACAAAGCCUGCAUGGGAGA
Molecule: non-coding RNA, 31 nt
Filed under: Macaca fascicularis (crab-eating macaque)
Lineage: Eukaryota; Metazoa; Chordata; Mammalia; Primates; Cercopithecidae
Also listed under: 1 other name
Source: RNAcentral